GAAGCUGUAUUUUCAGGGUUCAUUUCCAUAGGGUCCCCCCACCCCCGGAAAACUCCUCUGCAUGCAGAGUGCUAGAAAAUAUCAGGAUGAGGUCCCAGUCUCCGAGUGGGAAGCUGGCUUUUGGUGUUGUCUUGCUUGAAUUUCCAUUUGCCCAUGAGGGUCAUUCUUCUCUCCCUUUGGGAGAGGAAGAGGGCAGGGUGCAAUCUGAGUGGU
Small nucleolar RNA from Sciurus carolinensis (gray squirrel), 213 nucleotides. RefSeq annotates it as small nucleolar RNA U3. The transcript has a single exon. Lineage: Eukaryota; Metazoa; Chordata; Mammalia; Rodentia; Sciuridae. The record is from RefSeq and is a predicted model, not a curated record.